Molecule: ribosomal RNA, 520 nt
Filed under: Hypolestes clara
Lineage: Eukaryota; Metazoa; Arthropoda; Insecta; Odonata; Megapodagrionidae
Description: SSU rRNA
Rfam family: Eukaryotic small subunit ribosomal RNA
Source: RNAcentral
UAGUCGGAGGUGUGUCUCGGACGGUCGGUUCGCCGCUUGUCGGUGCUCAACUGGCCGGUCCGGACGUCCUGCCGGUGGGGCCGCGAGGCUCCGUGAUCCUUCUUUGGUCCUCUUCACUGAGUGCCUUGGUGGGCCGGCACGUUUACUUUGAACAAAUUAGAGUGCUCAAAGCAGGCCGUUGGUCGCCUGAAUACUGUGUGCAUGGAAUAAUGGAAUAGGACCUCGGUUCCAUUUUGUUGGUUUUCAGAACUCGAGGUAAUGAUUAAUAGGGACGGACGGGGGCAUUCGUAUUGCGACGUUAGAGGUGAAAUUCUUGGAUCGUCGCAAGACGAACCGAUGCGAAAGCAUUUGCCAAGAACGUUUUCGUUGAUCAAGAACGAAAGUUAGAGGUUCGAAGGCGAUCAGAUACCGCCCUAGUUCUAACCAUAAACGAUGCCAGCUAGCCAUCCGCCGAAGUUCCUUCUAUGACUCGGCGGGCAGCUUCCGGGAAACCAAAGCUCUUGGGUUCCGGGGGAAGUAU